This 77-nucleotide transfer RNA is filed under the name Thermodesulfobacteriales bacterium. RNAcentral's name for it is "tRNA-Arg". It matches the Rfam family "tRNA". Rfam says of the family: Transfer RNA (tRNA) molecules are approximately 80 nucleotides in length. Their secondary structure includes four short double-helical elements and three loops (D, anti-codon, and T loops). Lineage: Bacteria; Pseudomonadati; Thermodesulfobacteriota; Thermodesulfobacteria; Thermodesulfobacteriales. The record is from RNAcentral.
GCUCCUGUAGCUCAACUGGAUAGAGCGCCUGCCUACGAAGCAGGUUGUUGGAGGUUCGACCCCUCUCAGGAGUUCUA